RNAcentral lists this ribosomal RNA (253 nucleotides) under uncultured bacterium. RNAcentral's name for it is "partial 16S ribosomal RNA". It matches the Rfam family "Bacterial small subunit ribosomal RNA", at positions 524 to 776 of the family's 1533-position model. The record is from RNAcentral.
UACGUAGGGGGCAAGCGUUGUCCGGAAUCAUUGGGCGUAAAGAGCGUGUAGGCGGCCAGAUAAGUCCGCUGUGAAAUCUCGAGGCUCAACUUCGAGCUGUCGGUGGAAACUGUCUGGCUAGAGUCCGGAAGAGGAGAAUGGAAUUCCUGGUGUAGCGGUGAAAUGCGCAGAUAUCUGGAGGAACACCGGUGGCGAAGGCGGCGUCCUGGACCAACACUGACGCUGAGGAGCGAAAGCCAGGGGAGCAAACGGG